AGAGUUUGAUCAUGGCUCAGGAUGAACGCUAGCUACAGGCUUAACACAUGCAAGUCGAGGGGAAACGAUAUUGGAAGCUUGCUUUCCGAUAGGCGUCGACCGGCGUACGGGUGAGUAACGCGUAUCCAACCUGCCCACCACUUGGGGAUAACCUUGCGAAAGUAAGACUAAUACCCAAUGACGUCUCUAGAAGACAUCUGAAAGAGAUUAAAGAUUUAUCGGUGAUGGAUGGGGAUGCGUCUGAUUAGCUUGUUGGCGGGGUAACGGCCCACCAAGGCGACGAUCAGUAGGGGUUCUGAGAGGAACGGCCCCCACAUUGGAACUGAGACACGGUCCAAACUCCGUACGGGAGGCAGCA
Molecule: ribosomal RNA, 358 nt
Filed under: uncultured bacterium
Lineage: Bacteria
Description: bacterial SSU rRNA
Rfam family: Bacterial small subunit ribosomal RNA
Source: RNAcentral